Molecule: non-coding RNA, 539 nt
Organism: Lolium perenne
Lineage: Eukaryota; Viridiplantae; Streptophyta; Magnoliopsida; Poales; Poaceae
Source: RefSeq, a predicted model, not a curated record
CUGGUCAGAUCUGACUUUGUCGAAUUAAACCAGGAGCUUGGAAACGAAUUUUUGAAUGAAACCAAUUGGGGGAUAAUUGGUUUAUACCAUGGUGAUAACCGAGAGAGGCAAUUGCUAAGUUGUGAUGCACUCAUACCUUUACUAGAUGCGAACAAUUCCGGAGAAGAAGAAGAACUGGAAUCGGACGAGGAUUUUAUUUAUGUUGUUGGGAUUCUUAUAUUGAUGGAGUUGAAGAAGUGCAGGGACAAAUAAGCCAAGGCAAGCCAUCUUUUGAUCUCUGAUUCGGUGUCUAGUUGGAUGUCAUUUGUUGAUAUCCAAAGCACCUUGAUUCUAUGUGUGUUGUUCUCUUUAUUAUUGUCAUCUAUGUAUGGUUGCUAGUGGGGUACUCCCUAGUAGUGACACUCCACUAUUGUCUUUGUGAUUAUGGGAUGCAUGGUAUCAUGGCCGUGCUAUUCCUCUUGAUUAUCUUGUAUGCUCGACUUGAGCAUGUUCCAUCUCCAGAUAAUGACUUACACCACACACACACCAUUUUUGUAGUA